GCCUGGUUAGUUUAAACGGUAAAACACUUAUCUCAUACAUAAGAUCUGAUAGUUCGAUUCUAUCACCAGGUU
This is a non-coding RNA of Jimgerdemannia flammicorona, 72 nucleotides long. The record is from the annotation of a GenBank genome assembly. NCBI's taxonomy places the organism in Eukaryota, Fungi, Mucoromycota, Endogonomycetes, Endogonales, Endogonaceae.